This 253-nucleotide ribosomal RNA is filed under the name uncultured bacterium. RNAcentral describes it as "partial 16S ribosomal RNA". It matches the Rfam family "Bacterial small subunit ribosomal RNA", at positions 524 to 776 of the family's 1533-position model. The record is from RNAcentral.
UACAGAGACUGCAAGCGUUAUUCGGAUUCACUGGGCGUAAAUGGUGCGCAGGCGGCCGUGUGUGUCAGGUGUGAAAGCCCGGGGCUUAACCCCGGAAUUGCGCCUGAAACUACAUGGCUAGAGCAUUGGAGAGGGUAGCGGAAUUCACGGUGUAGCAGUGAAAUGCGCAGAUAUCGUGAGGAACACCAGAGGCGAAGGCGGCUACCUGGACAAUUGCUGACGCUCAGGCACGAAAGCGUGGGGAGCAAAAGGG